Nematostella vectensis (starlet sea anemone) is the source of this 284-nucleotide long non-coding RNA. RefSeq lists it as uncharacterized. The record is from RefSeq and is a predicted model, not a curated record. NCBI's taxonomy places the organism in Eukaryota, Metazoa, Cnidaria, Anthozoa, Actiniaria, Edwardsiidae. The transcript has 2 exons.
ACGUCAUGUGUAGGUAGGGCGCAGAUGUUUCUACGGAAAAUUAAAAACUUAGUAAGAAACCUUUUCGCCUGAGUUGUCUGAAAGUAUGCCUCAAGAUAUAAUAACCUAUUUAUCCAGACUUGAAUCAAGUUACACGUUUUUUUACGAUAGUCCUUUUAUUUCAGUUUCAAGAGAUAUUUUGCCAGGUGUUCGUACGGCAAGAGCUAUCUGUAUUUUAGUUUCAAAAAGGCUGUAUCAAAGGUGUCUGCACUAGCAGGCUUUGUAACACAAGAGCUGUCUGCAGA